CGGGUGAGUAACACGUGGAUAACCUACCUAUAAGACUGGGAUAACUUCGGGAAACCGGAGCUAAUACCGGAUAAUAUAUUGAACCGCAUGGUUCAAUAGUGAAAGACGGUUUUGCUGUCACUUAUAGAUGGAUCCGCGCUGCAUUAGCUAGUUGGUAAGGUAACGGCUUACCAAGGCAACGAUGCGUAGCCGACCUGAGAGGGUGAUCAGCCACACUGGAACUGAGACACGGUCCAGACUCCUACGGGAGGCAGCAGCC
This 259-nucleotide ribosomal RNA is filed under the name uncultured Staphylococcus sp. RNAcentral's name for it is "partial 16S ribosomal RNA". It matches the Rfam family "Bacterial small subunit ribosomal RNA", at positions 103 to 355 of the family's 1533-position model. Lineage: Bacteria; Bacillati; Bacillota; Bacilli; Caryophanales; Staphylococcaceae. The record is from RNAcentral.